Molecule: long non-coding RNA, 678 nt
Filed under: Vigna radiata
Lineage: Eukaryota; Viridiplantae; Streptophyta; Magnoliopsida; Fabales; Fabaceae
Description: long non-coding RNA (VRAD_LNC013320)
Source: RNAcentral
CCACUUUAAGUUCUGAAAUAUGAACUAAAAAAGACCCCAUAGAGGGCUUAACUUUCUCGGAAUGUCUUUCUGAAGAGUGAUUGAGACUCUUUCAUUCAAUCUAGUGUGCAUUUUCCUCUGUUCUUUCCUUGUGACUGUUACCUUUGGUUUAGUGCUUUAUUUUUAAUAUCUCUGUUAAAGAAUUGAUGUUAGAGUAGUCUUAGUUAGAUGGUGAUUUCAUGUUUAGCUCUAGGUUUUGUUAUGUGAUUGGCUGUUAGGAUUUGUUUAGGUUUUAAUUUCCAAUUUGAGUUGCUUGUUUACGGUUCUAGUUUUAGGUAAUUUUAGUUGCAUUUUAAUAUUCAUGUUGGCUUUAGUUCUGUUGCUGUUUUAGGUAGCUUAGAGAUUUAUUUUUUUCCUUUUCUUUCUUUGCAACUAAAUUUCUUUCUUCUUUUAAUCAGUUUGUAGAUUUUAGAUUUUUAUUUUGAUUCUUUUCCUUUUAAAUUUCAAUUUCAUUUCUUUUCCCUACCUUGUUUGUUAGUUAGUUAGUUAGUAGUUAGUAAGUAAAUAAUUACAAGAUUAUAACCAUACACUUUAAACUUAACAAGCGAGUCCUUGGAUUGAUACCUAGGUUGUCCCUAUACUACAUUAGUGGGGAAAUCUAGUUUGUUCUGAUUUUGUGCGACCAAAAUCAGUCUAACA